GGGUUGUGAGGUUAAGCGACUAAGCGUACACGGUGGAUGCCCUGGCAGUCAGAGGCGAUGAAGGACGUGCUAAUCUGCGAAAAGCGCCGGCGAGGUGAUAUGAACCCUUGACCCGGCGAUGUCCGAAUGGGGAAACCCAGUGUGAUUCGUCACACUAUCGUUAACUGAAUACAUAGGUUAACGAGGCGAACCGGGGGAACUGAAACAUCUAAGUACCCCGAGGAAAAGAAAUCAACCGAGAUUCCCCCAGUAGCGGCGAGCGAACGGGGAGCAGCCCGGAGUCUGAAUCAGCUUGUGUGUUAGUGGAACGGUCUGGAAAGUCCGACGGUACAGGGUGAUAGUCCCGUACACGAAAGCACACUUGCUGUGAACUCGAAGAGUAGGGCGGGACACGUGGUAUCCUGUCUGAAUAUGGGGGGACCAUCCUCCAAGGCUAAAUACUCCUGACUGACCGAUAGUGAACCAGUACCGUGAGGGAAAGGCGAAAAGAACCCCGGCGAGGGGAGUGAAAAAGAACCUGAAACCGUGUACGUACAAGCAGUGGGAGCACCUUCGUGGUGUGACUGCGUACCUUUUGUAUAAUGGGUCAGCGACUUAUAUUCUGUAGCAAGGUUA
Molecule: ribosomal RNA, 615 nt
Filed under: Enterobacter cloacae subsp. cloacae
Lineage: Bacteria; Pseudomonadati; Pseudomonadota; Gammaproteobacteria; Enterobacterales; Enterobacteriaceae
Description: bacterial LSU rRNA
Rfam family: Bacterial large subunit ribosomal RNA
Source: RNAcentral